This 453-nucleotide ribosomal RNA is filed under the name uncultured bacterium. Its description in RNAcentral is "bacterial SSU rRNA". It matches the Rfam family "Bacterial small subunit ribosomal RNA", at positions 340 to 786 of the family's 1533-position model. The record is from RNAcentral.
UACGGAAGGCAGCAGUGGGGAAUAUUGCACAAUGGGCGCAAGCCUGAUGCAGCCAUGCCGCGUGUAUGAAGAAGGCCUUCGGGUUGUAAAGUACUUUCAGCGGGGAGGAAGGCGAUGUGGUUAAUAACCGCGUCGAUUGACGUUACCCGCAGAAGAAGCACCGGCUAACUCCGUGCCAGCAGCCGCGGUAAUACGGAGGGUGCAAGCGUUAAUCGGAAUUACUGGGCGUAAAGCGCACGCAGGCGGUCUGUUAAGUCAGAUGUGAAAUCCCCGGGCUUAACCUGGGAACUGCAUUUUGAACUGGCAGGCUUGAGUCUCGUAGAGGGGGUGAAUUCCAGGUGUAGCGGUGAAAUGCGUAGAGAUCUGGAGGAAUACCGGUGGCGAAGGCGGCCCCUGGGACGAAGACUGACGCUCAGGUGCGAAAGCGUGGGGAGCAAACAGGAUUAGGAUACC